GUCAGAUAGCUCAGUUGGUAGAGCAGAGGACUGAAAUC
This 38-nucleotide transfer RNA is filed under the name Douglasdeweya deweyi. RNAcentral's name for it is "partial tRNA-Phe". Lineage: Eukaryota; Viridiplantae; Streptophyta; Magnoliopsida; Poales; Poaceae. The record is from RNAcentral.